UACGUAGGGUGCAAGCGUUGUCCGGAAUUAUUGGGCGUAAAGAGCUCGUAGGCGGUUUGUCGCGUCGAAUGUGAAAACCCGGGGCUCAACCCCGGGCCUGCAUUCGAUACGGGCAGACUAGAGUUCGGUAGGGGAGUCUGGAAUUCCUGGUGUAGCGGCGAAAUGCGCAGAUAUCAGGAGGAACACCGGUGGCGAAGGCGGGACUCUGGGCCGAUACUGACGCUGAGGAGCGAAAGCGUGGGGAGCGAACAGG
Molecule: ribosomal RNA, 253 nt
Filed under: uncultured bacterium
Lineage: Bacteria
Description: partial 16S ribosomal RNA
Rfam family: Bacterial small subunit ribosomal RNA
Source: RNAcentral